RNAcentral lists this ribosomal RNA (552 nucleotides) under uncultured bacterium. RNAcentral describes it as "bacterial LSU rRNA". It matches the Rfam family "Bacterial large subunit ribosomal RNA", at positions 633 to 1181 of the family's 2925-position model. The record is from RNAcentral.
CUGGCGAGCAAGCUUAAGGCGAUAGCUGUAGGCGAAGCGAAAGCGAGUCUGAACAGGGCGUUCAGUUCGUCGGACUAGACCCGAACCAGUCGAUCUAUCCAUGGCCAGGUUGAAAGCAGGGUAACACCUGCUGGAGGACCGAACCGGUGCCUGUUGAAAAAGUCUCGGAUGAGCUGUGGAUAGGGGUGAAAGGCCAAUCAAGGCUGGAAAUAGCUGGUUCUCCGCGAAAUCUAUUUAGGUAGAGCCUCGAGUGAAUACCCCAGGGGGUAGAGCACUGGAUGGGCUAGGGGCCCCCACAGGGUUACCAAACCUAACCAAACUCCGAAUACCUGGGAGUACUGCUCGGGAGACACACGGCGGGUGCUAACGUCCGUCGUGAAAAGGGAAAAAACCCUGACCGACAGCUAAGGUCCUCAAGUCACGGCUAAGUGUGAAAGGAUGUGGAAAUCCCAUAACAACCAGGAGGUUGGCUUAGAAGCAGCCAUCCUUUAAAGAAAGCGUAACAGCUCACUGGUCUAAUUAAGGGUUUCUGCGCCGAAAAUGUAACGGGGC